This 78-nucleotide transfer RNA is filed under the name Chitinophagaceae bacterium. RNAcentral's name for it is "tRNA-Pro". It matches the Rfam family "tRNA". Rfam says of the family: Transfer RNA (tRNA) molecules are approximately 80 nucleotides in length. RNAcentral also lists the same sequence under 2 other names. Lineage: Bacteria; Pseudomonadati; Bacteroidota; Chitinophagia; Chitinophagales; Chitinophagaceae. The record is from RNAcentral.
CGGGAUGUAGCGUAGCCCGGUUAUCGCGCCUGGUUUGGGACCAGGAGGUCGCAAGUUCGAAUCUUGCCAUCCCGACAA